RNAcentral lists this ribosomal RNA (200 nucleotides) under uncultured bacterium. Its description in RNAcentral is "partial 16S ribosomal RNA". It matches the Rfam family "Bacterial small subunit ribosomal RNA", at positions 28 to 244 of the family's 1533-position model. The record is from RNAcentral.
GAUGAAUGCUGGCGGCGUGCUUAACACAUGCAAGUCGAGCGGUAAGGCCCUUCGGGGUACACGAGCGGCGGACGGCUGAGUAACGCGUGGGAACAUGCCCCAAAGUGAGGAAUAAGCUCCAGAAAUGGAGUCUAAUGCCGCAUAUGAUCUUCGGAUUAAAGGAUUUAUCCGCUUUUGGGGAGUGGCCUGCGUAAGAUUAG